Molecule: small nucleolar RNA, 138 nt
Organism: Tachyglossus aculeatus (Australian echidna)
Lineage: Eukaryota; Metazoa; Chordata; Mammalia; Monotremata; Tachyglossidae
Source: RefSeq, a predicted model, not a curated record
CCCCUCUCAGGGUCGCACCCGGAGAGUUUCUAGAAUGCUCUCAGUCUCUACUGUGGGAGGGAGAGUCAAGCAGUGGCCUACCCAUUCCAUUCCUAGCUUGGGCAGUGGCUAGCGAGUGGAAGGCAAUCUGCUACAAGU